GUUUCUGUAGUUGAACACAACGGCGGUUUUUCAGGCCGCAGGUCUCGGUUAAAGUCCGGGUAGAAUCA
This 68-nucleotide transfer RNA is filed under the name Ivindomyrus marchei. RNAcentral's name for it is "tRNA-Glu". It matches the Rfam family "tRNA". Rfam says of the family: Transfer RNA (tRNA) molecules are approximately 80 nucleotides in length. Their secondary structure includes four short double-helical elements and three loops (D, anti-codon, and T loops). Further hydrogen bonds mediate the characteristic L-shaped molecular structure. tRNAs have two regions of fundamental functional importance: the anti-codon, which is responsible for specific mRNA codon recognition, and the 3' end, to which the tRNAs corresponding amino acid is attached (by aminoacyl-tRNA synthetases). tRNAs cope with the degeneracy of the genetic code in two manners: having more than one tRNA (with a specific anti-codon) for a particular amino acid; and 'wobble' base-pairing, i.e. permitting non-standard base-pairing at the 3rd anti-codon position. Lineage: Eukaryota; Metazoa; Chordata; Actinopteri; Osteoglossiformes; Mormyridae. The record is from RNAcentral.